RNAcentral lists this ribosomal RNA (365 nucleotides) under uncultured Rikenellaceae bacterium. RNAcentral describes it as "bacterial SSU rRNA". It matches the Rfam family "Bacterial small subunit ribosomal RNA", at positions 1020 to 1382 of the family's 1533-position model. The record is from RNAcentral. Lineage: Bacteria; Pseudomonadati; Bacteroidota; Bacteroidia; Bacteroidales; Rikenellaceae.
CCAAGGGCGGCCGGCGAGGUGCUGCAUGGUUGUCGUCAGCUCGUGCCGUGAGGUGUCGGGUUAAGUCCCAUAACGAGCGCAACCCCUACCGUUAGUUGCCAGCGGGUCAAGCCGGGAACUCUAACGGAACUGCCAGCGUAAGCUGUGAGGAAGGCGGGGAUGACGUCAAAUCAGCACGGCCCUUACGUCCAGGGCUACACACGUGUUACAAUGGCCGGUACAGAGGGCAGCCACCCCGCGAGGGGGCGCGAAUCCCGAAAGCCGGUCGCAGUUCGGAUCGGAGUCUGGAACCCGACUCCGUGAAGCUGGAUUCGCUAGUAAUCGCGCAUCAGCCAUGGCCGCGGUCGAAUACGUUCCCGGGCCUU